RNAcentral lists this ribosomal RNA (253 nucleotides) under uncultured bacterium. RNAcentral describes it as "partial 16S ribosomal RNA". It matches the Rfam family "Bacterial small subunit ribosomal RNA", at positions 524 to 776 of the family's 1533-position model. The record is from RNAcentral.
UACGAAGGGGGCUAGCGCUGUUCGGAAUAACUGGGCGUAAAGCGCACGUAGGCGGAUUUGUAAGUCAGGGGUGAAAUCCCGGGGCUCAACCUCGGAACUGCCUUUGAUACUGCGAGUCUGGAGUCCGGAAGAGGUGAGUUGAAUUCCUAGUGUGGAGGUGAAAUUCGUAGAUAUUAGGAAGAACACCAGUGGCGAAGGCGGCUCGCUGGGCCGGUACUGACUAUGAGGUGCGAAAGCGUGGGGAGCAAACAGG